Molecule: long non-coding RNA, 3860 nt
Filed under: Homo sapiens (human)
Lineage: Eukaryota; Metazoa; Chordata; Mammalia; Primates; Hominidae
Description: HSALNT0369707
Source: RNAcentral
CUUGUUUCAGAUGAGACUUUGGAUUUUGGACUUUGGGCUUAUUUCUCCCAGAAGUAAAACUCAGAUGACUAGGACAAGCUGUGGUGAGAGAAGCCAUUGGCUGCCAUCUAGACUGUGUUGAAAGCACACAGUCACUUGUUAAAGGCAGUAAGUGUUCACGGCUGACCUUCGCUUGGACAGGGAGGCAUUGUAGCAUAAAGGAAGAAUAUUAGACAUUGAAUUCAGAGAAAUAUUGGCUUUACCACUAAAAAACAAUGUGACUCUGGCAUUUAUGAAUAUCAUCUGUCUAAUCUGGAGAAACACGUCUUAUAGUUGGCCACUCUCAUGGUUCUUGUUGCCUUCUGUUGUUUGGAGGAAUCUAAGGAUUUAUGGAAGUUAUGUUGGUAUAUCAGAAGCUUGUUGGUAUAUAUUUGAGUAGAAGGGCUUCAAUGAAGUCAACUUAUACCACUAAGUGGAUUGUUGAUUCUUCGAUGGAUGAGGCUGUAUAAGGGGAUCAACAUUAAUCAAUGUUGCUGACAGGCUGGACAUUCAGCAGCAACCUUGACAAGAGAAUGAAGGCCAAAUUGAGUUUCCUUGAGCAACUCAUUUAACGUUAAGAAUCAAGAUGGUGCCCAAGCUCAGAUGACAUCCUUUCUAACCCAUUUGGAAGGCUCCUCUCAUAGGAGGUGUGAAAGAAAAGAGAAUGGAAAGGAACAGGCUCUUCUCUUGAAGAAAAGCCCUCAGUCCAUACAGCCAGACUUUGUCUACAUAUGCCUUUCUAUGGGAUGCUGAGAGACCAAGGGCUUCUGACAUAGACAUGUGAGAAAUACUGGCUUUAAGUAUACUAUACUCAGUGUCAAAAGCUUUCAGGAUGCAAGAAAUUCCUGAAUUUGAGUCUCCAAAAUUUUAAACAAGGAAAGGAAGUAAAAAUUAUCUCUUUUUCGAUGUAUGGCCCUAUAGUUGGCCAAAAAUGAUUGCUUCUGUUGUUAGAUAUUCAUGUAUAUUUAAGAUUAAAGAAGGUGAUAUUGAUGUGCAAAUAUGAGAGUAAAUUGACAGACAGAUAACCUAAAAAAGUACAGUAAAAUAAAGUUAAGAGUUGUGAUGAAUACCUAAAGGUCCAUUGCCAGAUGAAUGUGAAGACGGAAUGUGAUUUAUAUAUAUAGUGGAAUAUUAUUCAAUUAAAAAGAAAAUGCUAACACUUGCUAAUAUAUAUAAACCUUCAAGACAUUAUGCUAAGUGAAAGAAGCCAGAUACCAAAGGACAAAUAUUGCACUGUUCCACAUAUAUGAAGUGAACAUCACAUAUUGCUGAAGUUCUCAUCAUCAGAAAGAGGCAGAGCUAAGAUUUAAAUCCAGACAUGCCUGGUUCUGAAUUCAGUUGUCUUCCUACACCCAGGAGCUUAUUACAUGCAUUGUGCUAGUCUUCCUGGAAAUCAGGCAAACUCAGUCCACUGCACCUCAUCUCCUUAUGUAAUAACCUGGAGAGCGGUGAGAGCCAUCUGCUUCAAGAGCGACAUAUUUGAGUCCAUAAGGUAAUAGGUUGGCAGAGAACAGAAGGAUUAUGGCAUUGCCAUUUGGCAUUCUUGACUUACUCUGCAUUUAUAAAAUCGAAAUACAUAGUCCAUCAUGUUCUCACAGAGCCUACCAUUAUCAGUCAUUCUGAAAUAAACAUGGUUAGGGACAUCAUAUUCAAAAUAAGUGAUCCUUGUUUUCGGGAAUGAUGUCUGGCAGGAGGAGUUUUUAAAUCCUGCUUUCUGAAGCACUAGCUUACAAAUGACUUUGUGAAGUGUAUUUUGAUUCUGGGGCCCAAGAAGGAGAAAAACAAGUAAGGGAGAAAAACAUAGGCUGGAUCUUAAGAUCACAAGAUAACAGAUGGAUUAAAGGGUAGAAGCCAGAGCAGAGGUUCCAAAACAAGAUUGAUCAUUCAAAUUCAUCUGAAGAACUUUAAAUAUAUGUAUUUACCUGAACCCAGCUUCAGGAAUGAGGCUCAGACAUCUGUGUAUUUAAAAUCUCCUGUGGUUAUUCUGAUAAUUAGCCUCAGUUUUGAGUCAUCUAACAAAGAAAAAGCAAAACAUAUGUCAAUCAGUUUAUCUUACUGUAAUUAAACUUCAGUGGGAAACAUGAGGUGACCCCAAAGAACUGGUUAAGUGUGGCUUAAGAAUUAGUUAAGCAAAUGUACCAAAAGACAAUUUUAAAAAACCAAAUAAAAAGAAAUUUUAGUUUAUUCUCAGGGGCUUUCACAGGAGUCUAUAAAAAUCUCAAAAACAUCCAGGAAGCUCCCAUCGAAUAAUUUGGCUACCUGAAGUGCUGAAUAAAAGGAGCUCUCCCAAAAGAAGCUGUGAAUUCUCUAUCAGGCCCAUGUCCACUCUUCUAGUCAUAGCCUUACUUCUUAAAGAAAGAGAGAAGCUCUAAUCCAAAUCCAAACAUAGGACAUAUGGCGAAGAUUAUUCUGAGAGACACAGUCCCAGAUUCUCCUCUGCUAUACAGGUGUGACAAAAAAGGAGCAAGAACAAAGACUCUAACAUAAUCCUUAGAUGUUUAUAAUAGAAAAAAGAAUGGAAAGAAAUAAACUUUAGCAUUUACACAGGUUGAGCUGACCUAAUCUGAAAAUCCAAAAUCCAAACUGCUAAAAAACUGAUUGAGUUCUGAAGCUUUGAGUGUCAAAAUGGCUCCACAAGUAGAAAGCUCCACAUCUGACCUCAUGUGAUAGGUCACGGUCAAAAUGCAAUCAAAAUUUUGCUUCAUGCCCAACAUUAUUUAAAAUAUUGUAUAAAAUUACCUUUGGCUAUAUAUUAAUAUGUAAGGUAUAUAUAAAACAUUAGUGAUUUUUGGUUUAGUCUUGGAUCCUAUCCCCAUAAUAUCUCAAUAUAUGUAUGCAAAUAUUCCAACCUCCCUGCGCCCAAAAAAUCCAAAAUCCUAAGCACUUCCAAAAUCUAACAGUAAAACAGGCUGAGUAUCCCAAGCAUUUUGGAUAACAGAUGUUCAACCUGUAUCACUUGGGGUCCAUUCAGGGGAACAAACCCCACGAGGUAUUUCAACAGAGAUAAUUUCAUAUAGGGAAUUUGUUAAUCAGAUGAUGGGGAACUGAAAAGGAAAAUGAGAACAUUAGAAGAGAUCAUUACAAAAAGCUGCUACCUCCCCUCAGGCUGGAGGAAUGAAAGGAAGCUGAGAUCAGGAAGCUCAUUGGGAAGCUGAUCAAAACUUACAAGGUUCAUAGAGGGGCCCAAAGAUUUAGGACUCAGAAUUCCAAGGAGGGUGUUACCUACCUCCAAGGAGGCUGCUACUGAAAUCUCAGGAGCUUGGAGGGAGGGUCUCACACAAUGGGGGCCUAACCUCUGAAGUGAGGAGCUACCAGCUAGUGCUGGUACCUCAGAAGUUGGGAAGAGGUCCUGUGAUGUUGAGAUGCAGACACAUAAUGAGUGGGCUCUGCAGCUGGUGGUCGUGAAGGGGCACAAUGACUCUGUUAGUGGGAAUGGCCCGAUGAUCUGAAAGCUGUAAUUAACAGCUGCUGCCAGGGUAAAAGGCCAAAGUGGGGUGAUCUGAUGGGAAAAAAUAAACAAGCAGAAAUGAACAAGUUCCUUCUCCCCUUCUCCUGCCAUUUACUCUUCCCCUAGUUCUUCCUAUUGAUGGAAAUUAAUAGUAAGCCUUCUGACAAAGGAGACAUGUUGUCUUCAGAACCAUCAUCACAAAGUAGAGGCUAGGAAAGUAGAUGUGGAACCUAAUACCGGGUGAAUCAUUCAUCGCACAGUUUCAAAGGUGGCAACAGAAUUAGCCAAAAGCAAGUAUAGGAUGAAAAUAACAAAGGGAAGGGCAGAAAUAAAAUAAGACAUAAACAUUUGAUAGAGAGGACCAACAAAACAAAAUUUUAAUUCAGUGGGAAAA